Anolis carolinensis (green anole) is the source of this 731-nucleotide long non-coding RNA. RefSeq lists it as uncharacterized. The record is from RefSeq and is a predicted model, not a curated record. The transcript has 2 exons. NCBI's taxonomy places the organism in Eukaryota, Metazoa, Chordata, Lepidosauria, Squamata, Anolidae.
GUCGUGUCUUACUCUGGAGGUUGGUGCUCAUCUCCAUUUCUAAGCCGAAGAGCCGGCGUUGUCCGUAGACUCCUCCAAGGUCAUGUGGGAUGACUACAUGGAGCAGCGUUACCUUCCCGCCGGAGCAGUACCUAUUGCUGCACUCACAUUUGCAUGUUUUCGAACUUCUGGGUUGGCAGAAGCUGGGGCUAACAGUGGGGGCUCUCUCCGCUCCCCCAAUUCAAACCUGUGGCCUUUCGGUCCAGAAGUUCAGCAGCUCAGCGCUUUAACACGCUGCGCCAUCAGGGGAUAUUAUUUCCUAAAGGUUGUGAAUAUACAAUAUUUCUGAUUGUUUUUUUUUGUUUGUUGGAGGCAAGUAUGAAUACUGCAAUUAGGAAAAAUGAUUAGGAUGUAAUGGCCUUGCAGCUUUAAAGCCUGGCUGUUUCCUCCCUGGGUGAAUUUUUUGUUGGGAGGUGUUAGCUGGCCCUGAUUGUUUCCUGUCUGGAAUUCCCUUGUUUUCAGAGUGGUGUUGUUUGCGAUAUUUUAUGUGCUUCUACUGUCGGUGGCCCUGAGAAAACAGAGGAUUUUCCAGACUUUGAUGAUGGGAAUACUUUGUUGGGAGGUGUUAGCUGGCCCUGAUUCUUUCCUGUGUGGAAUUCCCCUGUUUAUUUACUGUCCUGGUUUUAGAGAUUAUAUUGUUCUGCAUUAUUCUAUCCCAGUAAUUAUUUCAUAUUAAAGAAGAAUCUCACUUA